This 252-nucleotide ribosomal RNA is filed under the name uncultured bacterium. Its description in RNAcentral is "partial 16S ribosomal RNA". It matches the Rfam family "Bacterial small subunit ribosomal RNA", at positions 524 to 776 of the family's 1533-position model. The record is from RNAcentral.
UACGUAGGUGGCAAGCGUUGUCCGGAAUUAUUGGGCGUAAAGCGCGCGCAGGCGGUUAUGUAAGUCUGAUGUUAAAGCCCGGGGCUCAACCUCGGUCCGCAUUGGAAACUGCGUAACUUGAGUGCAGAAGAGGAAAGCGGUAUUCCACGUGUAGCGGUGAAAUGCGUAGAGAUGUGGAGGAACACCAGUGGCGAAGGCGGCUUUCUGGUCUGUAACUGACGCUGAGGCGCGAAAGCGUGGGGAGCAAACAGG